CCUACGGGCGGCUGCAGUGAGGAAUAUUGGUCAAUGGCCGGAAGGCUGAACCAGCCAUGCCGCGUGAAGGUCAGUGCCCUAUGGGCGUUAAACUUCUUUUGUGCGGGAGCAAUAAUGGUCACGUGUGGCCAGACGAGAGUACCGUACGAAUAAGCAUCGGCUAACUCCGUGCCAGCAGCCGAGGUAAUACGGGGGAUGCAAGCGUUAUCCGGAUUUAUUGGGUUUAAAGGGUGCGUAGGCUGUGAGGUAAGUCAGCGGUGAAAUGCCCCCGCUCAACGGGGUGAAGUGCCAUGGAUACUGCCUUGCUGGAAUGCGGAUGCAGUGGGAGGAAUGUGUGGUGUAGCGGUGAAAGGCAGAGAUAUCACACAGAACACCGAUUGCGAAGGCAUCUCACGAAUCCGCGAUUGACGCUGAUGCACGAAAGCGUGGGUAUCAAACAGGAUUAGAUACCCGUGUAGUC
RNAcentral lists this ribosomal RNA (460 nucleotides) under uncultured bacterium. RNAcentral's name for it is "partial 16S ribosomal RNA". It matches the Rfam family "Bacterial small subunit ribosomal RNA", at positions 338 to 795 of the family's 1533-position model. The record is from RNAcentral.